Molecule: ribosomal RNA, 716 nt
Filed under: Microbacterium maritypicum
Lineage: Bacteria; Bacillati; Actinomycetota; Actinomycetes; Micrococcales; Microbacteriaceae
Description: bacterial SSU rRNA
Rfam family: Bacterial small subunit ribosomal RNA
Source: RNAcentral
GGGUGAGUAACACGUGAGCAACCUGCCCCUGACUCUGGGAUAAGCGCUGGAAACGGCGUCUAAUACUGGAUACGAGUAGCGACCGCAUGGUCAGUUACUGGAAAGAUUUAUUGGUUGGGGAUGGGCUCGCGGCCUAUCAGCUUGUUGGUGAGGUAAUGGCUCACCAAGGCGUCGACGGGUAGCCGGCCUGAGAGGGUGACCGGCCACACUGGGACUGAGACACGGCCCAGACUCCUACGGGAGGCAGCAGUGGGGAAUAUUGCACAAUGGGCGCAAGCCUGAUGCAGCAACGCCGCGUGAGGGAUGACGGCCUUCGGGUUGUAAACCUCUUUUAGCAGGGAAGAAGCGAAAGUGACGGUACCUGCAGAAAAAGCGCCGGCUAACUACGUGCCAGCAGCCGCGGUAAUACGUAGGGCGCAAGCGUUAUCCGGAAUUAUUGGGCGUAAAGAGCUCGUAGGCGGUUUGUCGCGUCUGCUGUGAAAUCCGGAGGCUCAACCUCCGGCCUGCAGUGGGUACGGGCAGACUAGAGUGCGGUAGGGGAGAUUGGAAUUCCUGGUGUAGCGGUGGAAUGCGCAGAUAUCAGGAGGAACACCGAUGGCGAAGGCAGAUCUCUGGGCCGUAACUGACGCUGAGGAGCGAAAGGGUGGGGAGCAAACAGGCUUAGAUACCCUGGUAGUCCACCCCGUAAACGUUGGGAACUAGUUGUGGGGUCCAUU